ACAUAACUGAUGCCUCCGCGUAUCGACUUUGUGCGCAUUUUAGCUAUUAUGUGUUCUUUUAAUUAAAAUGAUUCUUUUUAAGAUUUAUCUAUUAAAAAUUUGCUUCGGCAUAAUUUUUUUGAUGAUCUUGUUACUUUGAGUAAAUUAGAGUGUUCAAAGCAAACAGAUAUAGCAUUUGUGCGUUUGAAUACUACAGCAUGGGAUAACAAAAUUGAACAAGUCAGAAUUUUUUUGUUCUUUUUUCUUAUUUUGGCUUAGUUACGAUUAAUAGGAGUAGCUUGGGGGCAUUUGUAUUCAGAUGUCAGAGGUGAAAUUCUUAGAUUUUCUGGAGACAAACAACUGCGAAAGCAUUUGCCUAAAAUACUUCCAUUAAUCAAGAACGAAAGUUAAGGGAGUGAAGACGAUCAGAUACCGUCGUAAUCUUAACCAUAAACUAUGCCGACUAGGCUUUGGAUGAAAGAUUUUAAAAUAAAAGUUUUUCUUUUCUCUCCGGAGAUUAGAACUCUUAGAUUGCUUCCUUCAGUGCCUUAUGAGAAAUCAAAGUCUUUGGGUUCUGGGGCGAGUAUUCGCGCAAGCGAGAAAGUUAAAAGAAUUGACGGAAGGGCACCACCAGGCGUGGAGCUUGCGGCUUAAUUUGACUCAACACGGGAAAACUCACUAGUUUAAGACAAGAGUAGGAUUGACAGAUUAAUAGCUCUUUCUUGAUUUCUUGGAUGGUGAUGCAUGGCCGUCUUUAGUUCGUGAAUAUGAUUUGUCUGGUUAAUUCCGAUAACGAACGAGAUCUUAACCUGCUAAUUAGCGGCAAAUACGAUAUAUUCUUAUGUAGAAUUGAAUAUAGUGGAUUUGUUAGAUUUUGAAGAAAAUAUUGGAAUUACGUUAAAUGUGAUUCCUUUCCCUUUUCUACUUAAUUUACAUUUCCAUCUAUUUCUUUUUUGCGUAUGAAUGUAUUUGCUUGAUUGUAAAGCUUCUUAGAGGAACGAUGUGUG
Molecule: ribosomal RNA, 986 nt
Filed under: Plasmodium knowlesi
Lineage: Eukaryota; Apicomplexa; Aconoidasida; Haemosporida; Plasmodiidae
Description: SSU rRNA
Rfam family: Eukaryotic small subunit ribosomal RNA
Source: RNAcentral